This is a long non-coding RNA of Peromyscus eremicus (cactus mouse), 957 nucleotides long. RefSeq lists it as uncharacterized. The transcript is spliced from 3 exons. The record is from RefSeq and is a predicted model, not a curated record. NCBI's taxonomy places the organism in Eukaryota, Metazoa, Chordata, Mammalia, Rodentia, Cricetidae.
AGGAAUAAAACUCCUAAAGCAGUGAAGCCAUCAUUCAGUUUUCUGAUGGCGGAAAGACAUAUUAUCUUGUUUGUGACCUAGUUCCUGCUUUUCUUUCCUGAUUGUUUGAAGUCACUGAGACAACCACGUAAAAAGUACCUUCAGUUCACCUGGCCUCAGUAUGAAGCCACACACCAAACAUUUCCUUUUGUGUCUUUAAAUCUCUCAUUAGUUGUUAAUAUUAUGGGCACCCUUCCACCUAUGUGACAAAGAAUCACUCCACCCCACAUAGUAUAGUGGGCUGUACAAGCUAGCUAGCCACUUUGUGUUCAGGAGGAAGAAGAGGAAGUACCUACGAAGUGCAGGAAGAUAAUAGGGUCUGCUAUUGGAACCAGGGGCAAGUGCUAUUGAAAUGCAUAUCUCUGCUGAUCUAGAAAAGGUCUUUGUCUGGGGUGGAAGGCAGGGUCAGGAACCAUUGUGCUGUGUCUUUAAGCACAGUGUAACCUUAAGGGAGGUGCUCUUGUCACUCAUGCCUCACUAGCCAAUCAGGUCCUCUAGGCGGCCUGCCAGUCAGAAGUGGUGCAGGGCCCUUCCGGCUUCCUGCUUCAGGAUUGGCUUUGAAGAGGAGCUGAUGCUAGUGGGUUUGUGUGCUGUGCUGUGAGUGUUGCUGCAAGGAGCUGAGCAUAGAGCAUGGGCAAGCUGGAAAACCACGACAUGGACGCAGUGACCUAUAAUGAUGUGCAUGUCAACUUCACUCAGGAAGAGUGGGCUUUGCUGGAUCCUUCUCAGAAGAAUCUUUACAAAGAUGUGAUGCUGGAGACCUAUAUGAACCUCACUGCUAUAGGCUACAAAUGGGAAGAUCUUAAUAUUGAAGAACAUUGUCAAAGUCCUCGAAGACAUGGAAGGUAAUUUUCGUGUGAGAGUUGAUACAAAUGUGCCUCUGGAGAUAUUUUAAUGUAUCUGGAAGUUUUAAAGAAA